RNAcentral lists this ribosomal RNA (497 nucleotides) under uncultured bacterium. RNAcentral's name for it is "partial 16S ribosomal RNA". It matches the Rfam family "Bacterial small subunit ribosomal RNA", at positions 28 to 507 of the family's 1533-position model. The record is from RNAcentral.
GAUGAACGCUGGCGGCGUGCCUAAUACAUGCCAGUCGAGCGAACGGACGAGAAGCUUGCUUCUCUGAUGUUAGCGGCGGACGGGUGAGUAACGCAUGGAUAAGCUACCUAUAAUACGUGGAGAACUUCGGGAAACCGUAGCUAAUACCGCAUAAUAUUUUCAACGGCAUGGUUCAAAAGUUAAACACGCUCUUGCUGUCACUUAUAGAUGGAUUCGCGCUGCAUUAGCUAGUUGGUAAGGUAACGGCUUACCAAGGCAACGAUGCAUAGCCGACCUGAGAGGGUGAUCGGCCACACUGGAACUGAGACACGGUCCAGACUCCUACGGGAGGCAGCAGUAGGGAAUAUUCCGCAAUGGGCGAAAGCCUGACGGAGCAACGCCGCGUGAGUGAUGAAGGUCUUCGGAUCGUAAAACUCUGUUAUUAGGGAAGAACAUAUGUGUAAGAAACUGUGCACAUCCUGACGGUACCUAAUCAGAAAGCCACGGCUAACUACGUG